RNAcentral lists this ribosomal RNA (614 nucleotides) under Labeo rohita (rohu). RNAcentral's name for it is "partial 16S ribosomal RNA". It matches the Rfam family "Bacterial large subunit ribosomal RNA", at positions 1800 to 2626 of the family's 2925-position model. Lineage: Eukaryota; Metazoa; Chordata; Actinopteri; Cypriniformes; Cyprinidae. The record is from RNAcentral.
UAAAUUAAAAAAAUUCAGGCGAACUAUGUAAGGAGGUCCAGCCUGCCCAGUGACUACAGUUCAACGGCCGCGGUAUUUUGACCGUGCAAAGGUAGCGCAAUCACUUGUCUUUUAAAUAGAGACCUGUAUGAAUGGCUAAACGAGGGCUUAACUGUCUCCCCUUUCCAGUCAGUAAAAUUGAUCUGCCCGUGCAGAAGCGGACAUAAAAAUACAAGACGAGAAGACCCUUUGGAGCUUAAGGUACAAAACUCAACCACGUCAAGCGACUCAAUAAAAAGCAAAAACUUUGUGGAAUAUGAGAUUUUACCUUCGGUUGGGGCGACCACGGAGGAAAACAAAGCCUCCAAGUGGAUUGGGACAAACCUCCUAAAACCAAGAGAGACAUCUCUAAGCCACAGAACAUCUGACCAAACAUGAUCCGGCUGCCCGAAGCCGAUCAACGAACCAAGUUACCCUAGGGAUAACAGCGCAAUCCUCUCCCAGAGUCCAUAUCGACGAGAGGGUUUACGACCUCGAUGUUGGAUCAGGACAUCCUAAUGGUGCAGCCGCUAUUAAGGGUUCGUUUGUUCAACGAUUAAAGUCCUACGUGAUCUGAGUUCAAAACCGGAGAAAAC